UUUACAAAUAUAUUUUUCGCACUUCAUACACAAUUUCAACUGAGACGCGGCGACUAUCCCCAGAAAUCUACCAAAAUGCCAACACUACAGAUAUUCACUAAUGUAAAAGAAGGUGAAUUUCCAGAUGGCUUCUUUGCAGGUCUGAGUUCUGUAUUUCAGAAAGCGAUUGGAAAGCCAGAAAAGUAUAUCUGUAUACAUGUCGUGCCCAACCAAAUGAUGAGCUUUGGUGGAUCAACUGAGCCGUGUGCCAUUGCCAAUGUGACUAGUAUAGGCAAACUAGGAGUGGAAGAGAAUAAGGUCCUUACCCAGGUUAUUACGACUGAAAUGCUCAAGAUUGGUGUGAAUGCAGAUCGGAUGUAUGUAGUGUUCAGGGAUGCUGCAAGACAGGAUAUAGGAUGGAACAAUACUACCUUUGCAUCAUAAAAUAAGACUUUUAGCAUGAUCUGUGAUAUAACUAUGUUUCAAGAUAUUUAAAUUCUUUCAUGAUUUGCAUUUGGCUAUGUCUAUCUGCCAAAGGAAUAAAAACAAAAGUUCGUGAAAACUUUUAUUAACUGUCACAUAAUAAGCUGUUGACAUAAUAUUUCAUGUUUAGAUGACACCAUCUUGUUUUGUAAUUGCUCUGCAUUGAUCAAGGUUGAUUUACAAAAAUUACUUCAAAAUGUUUACAAGGUAUUAACUGAUUAUGAAAAUUUUGGUUCAUCCAGGUUAAUAGACACAUGAAAAUUUUUUUGCAUCAAGUCAAUGUGGAAUUUAAGUGGAGGAGGGUUUUGCUAUUGAUCUAGGGAAUUGCAUAAAAUUGGCUGUAGUAGUAAAUUUGCUAUCAAUAGUAAUUCCUCGUGGAAUACAGGCUUGUUUUUCGGCUGUUGAGCAACAUGCCAUGGGUAGCAGCGAUCAAAAUCUAGUAUUUUUCGAAGAGUUAUAUCAAAGUUUUAUGCAACGGGGCCCUGGGCGCUUCUCCAAUAUCCUGACUCAGAUAUGCUGAAGAAGGAUUCAGUACCAGAUGAGAUACUGCCCUCCAAAUUUAAUUUGACUCAGUUAUUUGCAGUAUGAUAUUUAGUCAAAAUGUGCUGUGACAAGGAUUGAUUUUGUUCACAUAGAAUUUGAUAGAAAUGCUAUGAUCUAGUGACUUGCCAUUUAUGUACUGGGCCCCAAAACACAAAACGCCUUUGGGGUGGAAUGCAAAAAUGAAAGAAAACUCUUCAUGGGUUUGGUGAGUGUUUUUAUAUCAAGUUAACAUGACACAACGAUCCAGGUUGGCCAUUGCAAUUUAAACAAACAGUUUUGGAGCCUGCUUUUGUUACUUUAUAAUAAUAUUUGAUUUUCAGAAUCCUUUAGUAUUAUAAAAGAUUGUCACACUUUUAUGAUGAUGAUAUCGAUAAUGAUGAUAUGAUGAAGUCUGUUAUUUUGGUCAUUUGUGUUCAGUGUGAAUAUAUGCCUGUAGGCCUAUUUUUAUUUGCAUGUAAUGCAAUAUCUAAAAAAAAAAAUUUUCAAUUCAAUUCUUUUAUUUCAUUUCCAAUUGAAAGUUUGAUUUACAAAAUUUUAUUGCAGUUCUAAAUAAUUAAAUAUAUCAUGACAAGGAGUACAGUUUAUGUUUAGGAGGUUUAUAGUUAGGAUGGCGAAGAAAACUAGUUUUGAUGGACUUUACUGAUUUAAACUUGCCUGGGAAGUGUCUUCCCUCUUUUUAAAGUAAUCUUUAUUGUUGUUUCAUCAAAGAAAAGAAAAUUUAGAAUCAUGUGAUUUUUUAAAAUCCAUAACAUUACUAUGUCUACAUGAUAUAUCAAAAUUCUUUGAAAAUUGCAACUUGGCCUUUCCAUAUACAUUCGUUUACCAACAAAGUCUGGGUGCAGUCUUACAAAGUGUUAAAAUAUCAAAAUCAAAUUCAAAUUGAAUUUGAUCCGAAUUGUCUUACAGAUUCAAUUAUUUGUAAGACAGGUGUGCUUUACAUGUAUAUUUACAUGUUGUGAUGACUUGCCUUUAUUAUUUUUAUCGUGAAUACAUCCAAGGAAGUUUGUUGCAAAAUAAUGUGGAAAAUAAUGUGUAAUAAAUGUAUGAAUUACAUUUA
This 2062-nucleotide unclassified non-coding RNA is filed under the name Lytechinus variegatus (green sea urchin). Its description in RNAcentral is "macrophage migration inhibitory factor-like, transcript variant X1". Lineage: Eukaryota; Metazoa; Echinodermata; Echinoidea; Temnopleuroida; Toxopneustidae. The record is from RNAcentral.